GAGAGAGACAUGCGCAGUGAGUGCCUCCCGUCUCUUCUACCCGAACCCCCCCUCCCCCCCCCAGCAGAGAGACCCCAGCAGCAGCAGCAGCUGAUGAUGAAGAGAGAGGCAGUGGCAGAGGGGGGGCACCUUUUAUUUCUAUUUUUAAAGGGACAGGACACUAAUUUUACCCCACUUCAACCUUGAAUUGAGGGGGGUGGGGGGAAGGCGGCUGAGUUCCUUCCCCCACCCUCCAGCCCUGAGACCUGAGAGGGGGAUUGAGCCUGAGAGAGAAGAAGAAGGAGUUUCUUCUUCUUCGAAAACCCCCAUCCACGACUCCUACCCCCUCACCCCUCCACUAGCCUCCCUCCCGAGCCCCCUCCACCCUCCUCCUCUUUGGCCGUGAGAGGAGGAGAGAAAGAGACCAAAAGCCUCUUAGCAACACAGACCCUUCUCUGCUGCUGCUGCUGCUGCUACUGCUGCUGCUGCUUGGCCCUGGCUGGAGACAUCUCACUACACCCAGGAGCAGCCACUUCCCCAGCUCUCCUCCUCCUUCGCCUCCUCCUCCUCCACUCCCCCCCCUUUAUUACCCUUUGUGUCAUCCUCCACAGCUCCAGGGAAGGCACUCAAAAGUGGGGGGCAGGAAAGAUGCUUAUUGAGGAUGCCAGUUUCUGCAUAUGGGAAGUAGAUAUUGAAGGUUAUAUGGUUUACAGACAAGAUCUUUAAAAUAUAGAUACUCAAGGACCAAGGAAACAAAUAUCAGAAGCCAAGAGCACAGAAUACUUUCUUUCAUCAAUCCAUAGAACCCUGAUACUUCUCUAAUUCCAUCACACACAAAGGAAUGACCACCUUGGCAGAUGGCCACAAAGGAUGUCAACAAUUCUUUGGAGGCAAGCAAUGAAAUAUUUAUACUAUGAGCUUUCUGUUGUUAAAGAGAAGAGGCACUCCCUUAUAGGGACUCAUAAAGGCAUAGAGCAUCUAGAGAUUUACUGCCUCCAUUACGCUGCUGGCUCUCACAGCACUUGUUAUGUUUUUAUCAGUUUCUCUCCAGAAGGUAGGAAUUGUGUUUUUUCUGUACGAAUUCUUUAUAUAAUUAUAGUUUUCUUGACUGUGAACUUAAUUUUUUUUAAAUAUGAAAAGCAUCUGACACCUAAAGAAUAAAAUGCCAGGUGUCUCCAAACAGUUAAGACGUAUAAACACAUUGCCUUUAAAAAAUAUUUCUAUUAUAAAAUUAAUAGAUGUUCAUUAAGAAAAAAAGAUAAGACAAACAGAAAAGUAUAGUAAUCUAUCACCUUGUGAUAACUACUCUUUAUAUUUUGUUGUAUGUCUUUCUGAAUUCAUUGAUAUAUUUGUAUACAAUGUAUAAUAUAUGUAUCCAUAUAAUAUUAUGAUUAGGAUUGGUAACAAUAGGAUAUAAAUGUUCUUUGGCUAGAUUGCUUCUUUACUUAGCAACUUAUUGCCUUAUGUGUAAUGUCAGUAAAUAUCAUCUGCAUUUCCAUUAUUAAUGGUUAUAUAAUAUUCCAGUUUAAGAACAUAACAUAAAUUAUGUAACCACUUUCUAAUUAUUGAGUAUAUGGAAUCUUCCAGGUUUUUUCCUGUGUUAAAUAUGACUUCAGUGAACAUUCUUGUACAUACAUGUUUGCAUUUGUGUCUAGUGAUUUUUUAGGACAGUUUCCAAAAAAGUAAGUGUUGCAGACUCUUAGUUCGUAAGCAUGCUCUCUGAUAGGAGGAUUCCAUGGCCUAUAACAUAAAGAACCACUGUUCACCAUCUUGGAGAAUACCUAUGUAUAGUAGUAACAAAGGUCUGAGAAAUCAAACUUAUUUGACUAUAGAAUGUUUUCUUAAGAUAACAUGUGUCUACAGGAUGGAGAAACUGUGGUGUAUGGAGGCAGGGGACAAUAUGGGAAAUUGCUAUACUUAACACUCAGUUUUGCUGUGAGCCUAAAAUUUCUCUGAAAAAUAAAUUUUAUUUAAAAAAAAGGGAAAGAAAAGUUUUUGAAUGCCAUUGUAUACAUUUACAUUUAAAAUUAAAUUUAGACUUUUACAUACACACACACAAAAUAACAUCAGAACAUAUCAACAUCCCACUGAACACUUUGGAAAAUGCUAGCUUAUGGUAUAUUCUUUUAAAUGGAAUUGGGAGAUCAAAGGGGAAAUAUAUGGAAAGGCUCUACCAAUUUGCAUUUCCACCAACAGUGCAUCAGAGUGCCACUUUCUCUGUAAUUUUGCCAUUGGUAUUAACCAAUGCCAUUGGUAUUCAAUUUAAAUAAAUCUGAAAUGAG
Lynx canadensis (Canada lynx) is the source of this 2261-nucleotide long non-coding RNA. Ensembl lists it as uncharacterized. Lineage: Eukaryota; Metazoa; Chordata; Mammalia; Carnivora; Felidae. The record is from Ensembl.